UGAACAUUACAUUUAUUAUAUGGUCAGUUAGAAUACAUCAGCGAUUGUAGUUGAUUACACAUCCAUUUAGGCUGGACUUUUUGCAUGAUAUCUGGCAAAAAAAAAAUACUGAUUUAGCAACAACCCCUUUACCUAGUCUUUGAGGCUCAAACUAAACAGCAACUAAUAGUCAAACAACAUAAUUAAUUGCAUGAAACUUUGAUUUUUACCUAGCUAUAUUUCAGUUUAAUGAACUUAUUUUGGUCUACAAGUUUUCUGAUGAUUUCAUAUUGGAACAAACAUAGCAAAAACCUAAAAUGAAAAUUCCUAAGAAGUUCAACUCCCAAAAUUUACAUCUAAGCAUCAAGUAACAAAAUAUAUGCAAAACAACUAAAAAAAAGGGUAGCAGGAUAAGAAAAGAAUGCUAGAAAAACUAACCUCUACGUAUAGAGGAGCAACUAACGGCAGAACUGAAGCACAGCUAAAAUUCCCAAAACAAAAUGAUGCUGCAAAAGUUAUUGGCGUUUAAGAUAUGAGUUCAAAGUUUUACAAAAAGGUAAUAAAAUUUUAAAGUUGUUUUAAAAGAAAAUGUUGACAUUGGUACUCUUGAGAACAUAUAAUGUUAGUUU
RNAcentral lists this long non-coding RNA (608 nucleotides) under Coffea arabica (coffee). Its description in RNAcentral is "long non-coding RNA (CARA_LNC007719)". The record is from RNAcentral. Lineage: Eukaryota; Viridiplantae; Streptophyta; Magnoliopsida; Gentianales; Rubiaceae.